This is a long non-coding RNA of Equus asinus (donkey), 1922 nucleotides long. NCBI's taxonomy places the organism in Eukaryota, Metazoa, Chordata, Mammalia, Perissodactyla, Equidae. The record is from Ensembl.
CGUGCCAGGUCCUGCUGGGGUGGGAGAAAGAGUCAAAGAAGAGACGGCCCCCUGUCGUGUGGAGAGUCUCUGUUUGGUCACCUCCUUCCCCCCCAGGACCAAGCAUUCCUUGAUAGUGGGGGCUGCAUUUGCUCCCCUGGGGUGUUCUCAGCACCUGGGAGGCAGGACCUAGCAGGGGUGCAAUGAGCACCAUUGCUCAUAUGCUGAAUAAACUGAACCCCUGUCCUCCAAGGGCUUUGGGGUGAUGGGGGAAACAGAGAAAAACUUUUUGACUCAGCAUUCCAGGACCCCAACCUGUAGGUUCUACCUAACUUUCUAGAACCUUCUUGCAUUGUCCAUAUUCAUGCACUUAGCACCAAACUGGACUCUUUACUCUUCUCCAAACAUGCCUGUGUUUCUUCUGCCUGGAAUACCUGUCCCCAUGUCCCCAAAUGUCUAUGGGGUCCUGUAUAUCUUUCAAGGCCAAUCUUAAACUCCGCUGUCUCUGUGAAGCCUUUCCCAAACCCCUGAUAAACUUUAUUUUAGCUCUUACCUCGUAUCCCAGCACAACUCUAACUUUCCUGCCGAAUGGCCUCUCCUGGAGCACGGGGGACUGUUAUCAAAGCUUUGGCAGUAGUGAGGGGCUAAUACAUGUGUUACGGCCCGAAGACCCCGGCAGACCUAAACCCAGCAACUACGACCCAUAACGUCCCAGAGGGAGACCUGGAGGAAGAGCAGCGAGGAAAGAAGAGUCACAUUUGACGGCAGCUGGGCUUGGGCCCCACCCCCACAUGGCCAACGCGGGUCAGCUGGGCUGAGCCUGGGGGCCUCAUUCUCCCCAAAUCUCUGCUCUUCCUGUGCUCUCUCUGCCACCUGGAAGGACAAGGGAGAGAGCAUCAGCAUGGACCAGUGAACUGCAUCUGCUGCAUGAAUGGAGGAGAGCAAUGGGCCAGUCACCUCCCAGCCCUCCUUUUACAACAGUGACCACACCCACCUGCAAAUAUGGGCCAAUCAGUGUCCUGCCAUCUGCAAGGAGGGAGUCCUGAGAGCUCUCACCUUACCUCUGAAGUCCCCUGCAUAGCACUAAAGAUGAAGUGGGAGCAACAGGGACUUGCUGAAUUAAUCCGAGCCCAGUACUCUGGUGUGACGGACCCAGUACUACUGGGUGACGGUCUGGGUCUGUCCUCACUUCAGUGUCCAGGCCUGGAACCUCUAGACAGGAUGAGAAGUGACAUCAGAGUGACCCCUCUCCCUGCCUCCAUGUGCCAGGCUCUGGUCAGCGUGCCCCAGGCCUCUCUCCUAGAGCAGGUCUUCUCGCUCUGCCCACAGCAUAGACACACUGAGUAAGUGCUGGUUGGCUCAAUGCUCCGUUUUGGGGUGAGACUUGGCGCCAGGCCCGCUGCUUAUUUCGCUUCCUCACUCUGAUGUCAACUCAACCUGUCAAGAGGUUCCAGGUCCUGGACUCUGAAGAGGGGGUAGCUUUGAUACUGCACUGAUGGUCGGGGGCCAGGCUCCACCUCGGAGGAGAUCAGAACUGGGUCAGCUGUAGGUUUGUUCCUAUACCGACAGUGUGCCUCUGCAGGUAGACUGGUGGAGGUGUUCAUGCAAACUCGGAAUAGAUGCCUGCGCUGCCAGGGACGACAUAGGCCAAGGGGCCGGAGCGACCAGGGCCGGCUCGGGACAUCCAGGCUCUGCAGACCGCCGCCACCGCCGAUUCCGCAGGUGGCCACUGGGCGUCGCAGCCGCCCGCGUUGUGUGGUCUUCAUCCUGGCGGCGCAUCCUGCCUUCCGCCUUCCCCGAUCCCCAGCUGGGAGCCGGGCUCCUGGGGGCGCAGGAGAGAGGAGGCCAGGGGAGGGGGCACCUUCCCGGAGCCUGGGGGCGGCUCCCGGGCUGUCGGCAGGGCUGAAUAAGGCUCAGGGUCAUUUCAAGAGAGAUGGAGGUGG